CCUACGGGAGGCAGCAGUGAGGAAUAUUGGUCAAUGGACGAGAGUCUGAACCAGCCAAGUAGCGUGAAGGAUGACUGCCCUAUGGGUUGUAAACUUCUUUUAUAUGGGAAUAAAAUGUUCCACGUGUGGGAUUUUGUAUGUACCAUAUGAAUAAGGAUCGGCUAACUCCGUGCCAGCAGCCGCGGUAAUACGGAGGAUCCGAGCGUUAUCCGGAUUUAUUGGGUUUAAAGGGAGCGUAGGUGGAUUGUUAAGUCAGUUGUGAAAGUUUGCGGCUCAACCGUAAAAUUGCAGUUGAAACUGGCAGUCUUGAGUACAGUAGAGGUGGGCGGAAUGCGUGGUGUAGCGGUGAAAUGCUUAGAUAGCACGAAGAACUCCGAUUGCGAAGGCAGUUCACUGGACUGCAACUGACACUGAGGCUCGAAAGUGUGGGUAUCAAACAGGAUUAGAUACCCGAGUAGUC
Molecule: ribosomal RNA, 460 nt
Filed under: uncultured bacterium
Lineage: Bacteria
Description: partial 16S ribosomal RNA
Rfam family: Bacterial small subunit ribosomal RNA
Source: RNAcentral